RNAcentral lists this ribosomal RNA (568 nucleotides) under uncultured bacterium. RNAcentral's name for it is "partial 16S ribosomal RNA". It matches the Rfam family "Bacterial small subunit ribosomal RNA", at positions 355 to 912 of the family's 1533-position model. The record is from RNAcentral.
UGGGGAAUAUUGCACAAUGGGCGCAAGCCUGAUGCAGCCAUGCCGCGUGUGUGAAGAAGGCCUUCGGGUUGUAAAGCACUUUCAGCGAGGAGGAAGGUGGUGAGCUUAAUACGCUCAUCAAUUGACGUUACUCGCAGAAGAAGCACCGGCUAACUCCGUGCCAGCAGCCGCGGUAAUACGGAGGGUGCAAGCGUUAAUCGGAAUUACUGGGCGUAAAGCGCACGCAGGCGGUUUGUUAAGUCAGAUGUGAAAUUCCCGGGCUCAACCUGGGAACUGCAUUUGAAACUGGCAAGCUAGAGUCUCGUAGAGGGGGGUGAGAAUUCCAGGUGUAGCGGUGAAAUGCGUAGAGAUCUGGAGGAAUACCGGUGGCGAAGGCGGCCCCCUGGACGAAGACUGACGCUCAGGUGCGAAAGCGUGGGGCAGCAAACAGGAUUAGAUACCCUGGUAGUCCACGCUGUAAACGAUGUCGAUUUUGGAGGUUGUGCCCUUGAGGCGUGGCUUCCGGAGCUAACGCGUUAAAUCGACCGCCUGGGGAGUACGGCCGCAAGGUUAAAACUUAAAUGAAUUG